RNAcentral lists this ribosomal RNA (433 nucleotides) under uncultured bacterium. RNAcentral's name for it is "partial 16S ribosomal RNA". It matches the Rfam family "Bacterial small subunit ribosomal RNA", at positions 29 to 507 of the family's 1533-position model. The record is from RNAcentral.
AACGAACGCUGGCGGCAUGCCUAACACAUGCAAGUCGAGCGAGCAUUUCGGUGCUAUCGGCGGACGGGGGAGUAACGCGUGGGAACGUGCCCUUUUCUGCGGAAUAGUCCUGGGAAACUGAGGGUAAUACCGCAUACGCGCUAAUGGCGGAAGAUUUAUCGGAGAAGAAUCGGCCCGAGUUGGAUAAGGUAGUUGGUGCGGUAAUGGCCCACCAAGCGGACGAUCCAUAGCUGGGUGGAGAGGAUGAUCAGCCACCCUGGGAGUGAGACACGGCCCAGACUCCUCCGGGAGGCAGCAGUGGGGAAUGUUAGACAAUGGGGGCAAUGCUGAUCUAGCCAUGACGGGUGAGUGAUGAAGGCAUUAGGGUUGUAAAGCUCUUUCAGCUAGGAAGAUCAUGACGGUACCAGAAGAAGAAGCCACGGCUAACUCCGUG